Drosophila montana is the source of this 384-nucleotide long non-coding RNA. RefSeq lists it as uncharacterized. NCBI's taxonomy places the organism in Eukaryota, Metazoa, Arthropoda, Insecta, Diptera, Drosophilidae. The record is from RefSeq and is a predicted model, not a curated record. The transcript has 3 exons.
GUUGCUGCAGUUGGCGUAAUUUGCAACUGUCAAACCGCUGUCAAGUUUAAGUGCGCGUACAAAAAUGUUUAAGCUGCCGAGCGCAGUUUUAAGAAUAAUGAUGAUGAACGCCAAAAUACGGCACCACAGCAGGCAAAGAAGCAACUGCUCUGCCACACAGUGACGGAGGCAUGCCACCACAUUUUGGCUGACCGGUGAUAAACAAGGAACGUUGGCUGCGACACUCACUGCAGGCCGGGACUAGUGCAAUUUGGAUUUUCGCAUAACAACAAAUAAGCACCAGGCACGACCUACAUCAGCAACAACACCAACAAUAAUAAAAAUAACGAAGGCACACACAACAGGCGGGCAAGCAAUUGCUCGGCUUGUUGUUUUUUUUUUUUU